Molecule: ribosomal RNA, 1204 nt
Filed under: metagenome
Description: bacterial LSU rRNA
Rfam family: Bacterial large subunit ribosomal RNA
Source: RNAcentral
UGAAUACGAGAUGCUACGGCGUCGAAGCAGUGUAUGUCAUACUUCCAAGAAAAGCUCGCUAUGUCAUAAACAAUUAAUGCCUGUACCAUAACCGACACAGGUGGGUAGGUAGAGUAUACUAAGGGGCGCGAGAUAACUCUCUCUAAGGAACUCGGCAAAAUGACUCCGUAACUUCGGGAGAAGGAGUACCUUAUUUAUAAGGUUGCAAUAACAAGAUCCAAGCAACUGUUUACCAAAAACACAGGUCUCCGCUAAGUCGUAAGACGAUGUAUGGGGGCUGACGCCUGCCCAGUGCCAGAAGGUUAAAGAAGUUGGUUAGCAUUCGCGAAGCUGAUGACUGAAGCCCUGGUGAACGGCGGCCGUAACGAUAACGGUCCUAAGGUAGCGAAAUUCCUUGUCGGGUAAGUUCCGACCCGCACGAAAGGCGUAAUGAUUUGGAUACUGUCUCGGAGAGGGCUCGGUGAAAUAGACUUGUCUGUGAAGAUGCGGACUACCUGCACCAGGACAGAAAGACCCUAUGAAGCUUUACUGUAACUUGAGAUUGAAAUUGGACUUUAUUUGUGCAGUAUAGGUGGGAGGCGUUGAAGAAAUUCUUGCGGGAAUUUUGGAGCCAUCAGUGAGAUACCACCCCUAUAAUGUUAGAUUUCUAACUUUGUAUCAUUAUCUGGUCAAAGAACAGUUUCAGGCGGGCAGUUUGACUGGGGCGGUCGCCUCCCAAAUGGUAACGGAGGCGUACAAAGGUUUCCUCUGAACGGGUAGAAAUCGUAUCUAGAGUAUAAAGGCAUAAGGAAGCUUGACUGUGAGACCAACAAGUCGAGCAGGGACGAAAGUCGGUCUUAGUGAUCUGACGGUGCUGAGUGGAAAGGCCGUCACUCAACGGAUAAAAGUUACUCUAGGAUAACAGGCUGAUCUCCCCCAAGAGUUCACAUCGACGGGGAGGUUUGGCACCUCGAUGUCGGCUCAUCGCAUCCUGGGGCGGUAGUACGUCCCAAGGGUUGGGCUGUUCGCCCAUGAAAGCGGUACGCGAGCUGGGUUCAGAACGUCGUGAGACAGUUCGGUCCAUAUCCGGUGUAGGCGUUAGAAUAUUGAGAGGAGCCUUCUUUAGUACGAGAGGACCGAGAAGGACAUACCUCUGGUGUACCAGUUAUCGUGCCAACGGUAAACGCUGGGUAGCUAUGUAUGGAGUGGAUAACCGCUGAAAGCA